GGCCUGUCCCUGAGCUGCGCUCCUGGGACAGUCCCACCCUGACCAACAGCAGCCCCCGGUUUGUUUCUGAGCGUCCGUCUCCAAAAAUCUGCAAGGAGAAAGAGCCUCCGCCACUGUGCCGGACCACACGGAGAGCACCUUGCCAUGCAACAAAAGACCACUUUUUUUUUUUUUUGGAACCAGAGAUUGAACCCAGUGGGGGCUUAACCACUGAGUCCUAUCCCCAGAACCUUUUAUGUUUUAUUUUGAGACAGGGUCUUACUAAGUUGCUGAGGCUGGCCUUGAACUUGCAAUCCUCCUGCCUCAGCCUCCUGAGUCCCUGGGAUUACAGGUAUGUGCCACUGUCCCCAGCUUCAUUGGCUAUUUCUGUGAACUGCCUGCCCGAGACCUGUGCUGUGACCUUGGCAAGUCUUCCCCAGGUGUGA
Molecule: long non-coding RNA, 425 nt
Filed under: Ictidomys tridecemlineatus (thirteen-lined ground squirrel)
Lineage: Eukaryota; Metazoa; Chordata; Mammalia; Rodentia; Sciuridae
Description: lncRNA (ENSSTOG00000033732.1)
Source: RNAcentral